RNAcentral lists this ribosomal RNA (492 nucleotides) under uncultured bacterium. RNAcentral describes it as "partial 16S ribosomal RNA". It matches the Rfam family "Bacterial small subunit ribosomal RNA", at positions 29 to 507 of the family's 1533-position model. The record is from RNAcentral.
AGUGAACGCUGGCGGUAGGCCUAACACAUGCAAGUCGAACGGCAGCACAGUAAGAGCUUGCUCUUACGGGUGGCGAGUGGCGGACGGGUGAGGAAUACAUCGGAAUCUACUUUUUCGUGGGGGAUAACGUAGGGAAACUUACGCUAAUACCGCAUACGACCUACGGGUGAAAGCAGGGGAUCUUCGGACCUUGCGCGAUUGAAUGAGCCGAUGUCGGAUUAGCUAGUUGGCGGGGUAAAGGCCCACCAAGGCGACGAUCCGUAGCUGGUCUGAGAGGAUGAUCAGCCACACUGGAACUGAGACACGGUCCAGACUCCUACGGGAGGCAGCAGUGGGGAAUAUUGGACAAUGGGCGCAAGCCUGAUCCAGCCAUACCGCGUGGGUGAAGAAGGCCUUCGGGUUGUAAAGCCCUUUUACUGGGAAAGAAAAGCAGCAGGUUAAUACCCCGCUGUUCUGACGGUACCCAAAGAAUAAGCACCGGCUAACUUCGUG